RNAcentral lists this ribosomal RNA (391 nucleotides) under uncultured bacterium. RNAcentral describes it as "bacterial SSU rRNA". It matches the Rfam family "Bacterial small subunit ribosomal RNA", at positions 28 to 420 of the family's 1533-position model. The record is from RNAcentral.
GACGAACGCUGGCGGCGUGCUUAACACAUGCAAGUCGAGCGGUAAGGCCCUUUCGGGGGUACACGAGCGGCGAACGGGUGAGUAACACGUGGGUGACCUGCCCUUAGCUCUGGGAUAAGCCUGGGAAACUGGGUCUAAUACCGGAUAUGACUCCAUGACGCAUGUUGUGGGGUGGAAAGCCUUGUGCGGCUAGGGAUGGGCCCGCGGCCUAUCAGCCUUGUUGGUGGGGUGAUGGCCUACCAGGGCGACGACGGGUAGCCGGCCUGAGAGGGCGACCGGCCACACUGGGACUGAGACACGGCCCAGACUCCUACGGGAGGCAGCAGUGGGGAAUCUUGCGCAAUGGGCGAAAGCCUGACGCAGCGACGCCGCGUGGGGAUGACGGCCUCGG